GUCCUCCCCUCAGACUCAUCGUGUUCACAAGAGCCCACGUUUCCAUAGGAGGGAAAUGGAGAAUGCGUUCCUUCAUUCACUUCUUGAGUCAACACUAGGUACUGACUUCCUUCCACGUGUCAGGUUAGAAUACAGGCCAGCAAGACAGACCCAACCAGACUUGCGAACAAUCUCUGUGGGUUUCUAGCUCCAACAUAUCUCUUUGCCCCCCAAACUCUUCUCCCCUCAAAAUUGCAGCAGUUCUCAGCAGGGGAGGAUUUUGUCUCCCAAGAGACAUUUGGAAAUUUCUGAAGGCAUCUUCAGUUGUCACAGUUUAGGGGGAGUGUUACUGGCAUCUAGUAGGGGGAGGCCAGGGAUGCUACUAAACAUCCCUCAAUGCACAGGACGGCCGCCACAACAAAGAAUUAGGGGGCCCAAAUGUCCAUAAUUUUUGCUGAGAUUGACAA
Aethalodelphis obliquidens (Pacific white-sided dolphin) is the source of this 446-nucleotide long non-coding RNA. RefSeq lists it as uncharacterized. The transcript is spliced from 3 exons. The record is from RefSeq and is a predicted model, not a curated record. Lineage: Eukaryota; Metazoa; Chordata; Mammalia; Artiodactyla; Delphinidae.